GGUAUCGGUGCCAAAUACCCGUAGUUUUCGGACAGUUCGUAAAUUUUAACGCACUGCCUAGAAUAUACGGGUUCCUGGCUAAGAGAACCA
Pristionchus pacificus is the source of this 90-nucleotide non-coding RNA. NCBI's taxonomy places the organism in Eukaryota, Metazoa, Nematoda, Chromadorea, Rhabditida, Neodiplogasteridae. The record is from Rfam.